UGUCACAAUGGAAAGGCUGCCUUUAGCUAAAAGGGAAAAAGAGAAAGAUAUAGACGUUUUCCUUUCAUUAGUGGCACAAUACCUGAAGGAGAGGAGUCCCAGUUUCUCCUACACAUAGGAGAUGUGAAUUUUAGGAAUGGACUGAAGAUUUUGGAGAAGAGGAUAUCACUUUUUAACCAUCUCCUGCAAGCUACACACAGGCUACAGAAAACACGAGUCCUUCAAAUACCAUGUAUGUUUGCUUAAAAUAUUGUUAUAGCAUCAUUACUUUUUAUCAUCAGAGUAAUUGGUGAUGUCAUUGUUGUGCAGUUUGAAGCAAUGAUACAAUAUAUCAGAUUUUUUUUAUGCCACUAUGAAUUAAGUGUCAAACGGUAUAGUGAAAAGUUCAUAAGGUUAGACAUACUAUAUGCUGUGUUGCGGCUGGAGAUAGAACUAGUUUAUAUGGCUUUAGGCUCACUAGAGAAAAGAGUAGAAUUUUUUUAUGCUCUGUAUAUAUUUUAUAUUAUUUUGAUGAUACAGUCUAAGGCACAUACAGUGGGUAGAGGAAGAGCAGGAAAAGAGACAGACAAAACAAAUUCAUGGACAUGAGUUUGUUCAAUUGAAUGCUAUUACCCCAUAUUGUUGUAAUUAAUUGAAUGAUAAAUUAUUUAUGUAAUUUAAUGAUAAAUUAUAUUUAGCACCUUUAAGUUGAUUUGGGCUGCAGAUUAUAUUUUUAGAAUUUGAUGAUGCAUUUAACAGCAAACAAGAGAUUUAAGUAGUUUUAUAUUUUUAUUUUAAUUCUGCUCAAU
Long non-coding RNA from Xenopus tropicalis (tropical clawed frog), 788 nucleotides. RefSeq lists it as uncharacterized. The record is from RefSeq and is a predicted model, not a curated record. The transcript is spliced from 2 exons. NCBI's taxonomy places the organism in Eukaryota, Metazoa, Chordata, Amphibia, Anura, Pipidae.